UACAGAGGUCCCGAGCGUUGUUCGGAUUCACUGGGCGUAAAGGGUGCGUAGGUGGCAUGGUAAGUUUGAUGUGAAAGCUCAGGGCUUAACCCUGAAAUGGCAUUGAAUACUACUGUGCUGGAGGUUUGGAGGGGGGACUGGAAUUCUUGGUGUAGCAGUGAAAUGCGUAGAUAUCAGGAGGAACACCAGUGGCGAAGGCGAGUCCCUGGACAACACCUGACACUGAGGCACGAAAGCUAGGGGAGCAAACAGG
Molecule: ribosomal RNA, 253 nt
Filed under: uncultured bacterium
Lineage: Bacteria
Description: partial 16S ribosomal RNA
Rfam family: Bacterial small subunit ribosomal RNA
Source: RNAcentral